Molecule: non-coding RNA, 1070 nt
Organism: Triticum urartu
Lineage: Eukaryota; Viridiplantae; Streptophyta; Magnoliopsida; Poales; Poaceae
Source: RefSeq, a predicted model, not a curated record
UCCCUACCUUUCUUCCUCGGUAUCCCCUCAUUCCUCCCCGAUCCAAUCCACCAGCCACUGCUCUCCAUCGCAUCACAACAUCGACCAACCACCGCACAGCCAGCCACCUCCCUGACCCAGCGCUCGAUCCAGAUGGGAUUGAGGCAACCACCGGUGUCCUCCUCGACGCCUCCCCUCGCGUUGUGCCGCCAGCUUCCUCUCCGUCCAGUCCCGUCCCCUGCUCCUACCCUUCGCCAUGGCCGCCCUGAUCUCCAGCCAUGGACAGCCGCUGCCGGAGCUCGUCUUCCCCGCCGUUGGCUAGAGCCCUAGGCCAGUGACCCAAGCCUCUUCCUUCCUUCCCUUUUCCCUCACGCACUCUCUUCCUCCUCCAUGACCUCUCUAUCUUCCUUGACGCCAUGGAAAGGAGCACUCAACCAUGGUACAGUCAACUCCGGUCCGUCCAGCGACCUCCGUGCCUCGUCGCCGAUCAGAUUCGUGCCUCCUCCGUCGUUUCCCACGCCGGACCCCGCUACUGCCUCCCCUGCUUCUGCUGUGCGAGGACGACGACGCAUCCAGCAAGCGCCCGCUCAUCCCAGCCACGUUGACCGCCUCCCUCCGAACUCACCGGCGUCACCACGGAGCUUCCCCGACCUCUCCUUCACUCUGACCCACGUCUCUGGUGGCCUUGUCGUUGUCGUCACCUAGGAGCUCGUCCGUUUCCCGAGAUCUCCACCGACCGCGCCCUUCGACGGGAACCACGUUGUCCGGCUCGUCCCGCCUCCCGCGGGCCUCCCCGUCGCCUGCCGAAGUUCCUACUGCCGCCAUCGUCGUUCGAGGCUAGUGCCUCUGCUUCGAACCAGGGUGCUGACGCCUCCAGCGCCUGCGUUGACCGAGCACAGCCUAGCCGACCCAGUUCGCCUCUGCCUCACAGGGCCAAGCCCAUGGUUCCGGUUACGUUGCGAUUGUGAGGAUCCGUCCGAGUACGUUGGUUCGUCUACUUCAUGGAUUCGGUCUUCUUCCUAGCAGGAUUUCAGGCAAGAUGACUGUCACCUUGGAUCCCACUACUAUCUUUGCUAUGCUAGUUGUCUCGA